GAUGAACGCUGGCGGCGUGCCUAAUACAUGCAAGUCGAGCGAACAGACGAGGAGCUUGCUCCUCUGACGUUAGCGGCGGACGGGUGAGUAACACGUGGAUAACCUACCUAUAAGACUGGGAUAACUUCGGGAAACCGGAGCUAAUACCGGAUAAUAUAUUGAACCGCAUGGUUCAAUAGUGAAAGACGGUUUUGCUGUCACUUAUAGAUGGAUCCGCGCCGCAUUAGCUAGUUGGUAAGGUAACGGCUUACCAAGGCAACGAUGCGUAGCCGACCUGAGAGGGUGAUCGGCCACACUGGAACUGAGACCCGGUCCAGACUCCUACGGGAGGCAGCAGUAGGGAAUCUUCCGCAAUGGGCGAAAGCCUGACGGAGCAACGCCGCGUGAGUGAUGAUGGUCUUCGGAUCGUAAAACUCUGUUAUUAGGGAAGAACAAAUGUGUAAGUAACUAUGCACGUCUUGACGGUACCUAAUCAGAAAGCCACGGCUAACUACGUG
RNAcentral lists this ribosomal RNA (497 nucleotides) under uncultured bacterium. RNAcentral's name for it is "partial 16S ribosomal RNA". It matches the Rfam family "Bacterial small subunit ribosomal RNA", at positions 28 to 507 of the family's 1533-position model. The record is from RNAcentral.